GGUUGAAAAAAAUAUAAAAGGGGCUAGUGUCAGUUGCUGACAGAUGCUGGCAGUUGCAGGAAAGGUGGUGCCUGGGAGUGUGUUGGGCAUUUAGUUGCUGGAAUAUAAAAGGAAUCUUCAUUACAACAUGCCUGACAAGUGGGCUUAUAGAGUCUUCUAGAAUUCUUCUUCCAGAGAAAGGUAAUCUGAUACUUUUGGAGGCUUUGAUCUGUGAAAUAGGAAGAGAGGGAGGGAAGGAGGAAGAAAGGAGGGGAAGAAGGAAGACAGGAAAGAAAGAAGGAAGGAAGACAGGAAAGAAGGAAGGAAGGAAGCAAGGAAGGAAGAAAGAAGAAAGGAAAGAAAAAAGAAGCUCCGUCAUAGGAACAAAGAAAGUUUCCAGAUAGUGCCUUGAUAUCUAAGAUCCUUGAGGAGGGAGAUUCCCCUUCCAAACAAUAACUACUCUCUUCCCUCUUCACCAUCUUCCAUAUGCCAAGAAGAGUCUUCAGAAGAGUGA
RNAcentral lists this long non-coding RNA (493 nucleotides) under Monodelphis domestica (gray short-tailed opossum). Its description in RNAcentral is "lncRNA (ENSMODG00000043223.1)". The record is from RNAcentral. Lineage: Eukaryota; Metazoa; Chordata; Mammalia; Didelphimorphia; Didelphidae.